Long non-coding RNA from Octopus sinensis (East Asian common octopus), 186 nucleotides. RefSeq lists it as uncharacterized. NCBI's taxonomy places the organism in Eukaryota, Metazoa, Mollusca, Cephalopoda, Octopoda, Octopodidae. The transcript is spliced from 3 exons. The record is from RefSeq and is a predicted model, not a curated record.
AUGCUGGAUGUUGUUUAAAAGAGUUAUUUAAAGACAGGCAACAAAAACUGCCGAAAUUCGUUUUAAUUUGAGCGAAAAUGGUUCUUGUACGAAGUAAUUGCUUACAUUGUCAAAAUUACGGUGAAGAAGAAGAAGAAGAGAGAGAAGAGAGAAGAGAGAAGAGAAAGAGAAGAGAGAGAAAGAGAG